GACGAACGCUGGCGGCGCGCUUAAUACAUGCAAGUCGAACGAGAAGCCAGAGCUUGCUCUGGUGGAAAGUGGCGAACGGGUGAGUAACACGUGAGAAACCUGCCCCAAAGAUUGGGAUAAGCCUUGGAAACGAGGUCUAAUACCAAAUACCUUCCUUUUAACACAUGUUAAAAAGAAGAAAUGCUCCGGCGCUUUGGGAUGGUCUCGCGAUCUAUCAGCUUGUUGGUGAGGUAACGGCUCACCAAGGCAUCGACGGAUAGCUGGUCUGAGAGGAUGUCCAGCCACAUUGGAACUGAGACACGGUCCAAACUCCUACGGGAGGCAGCAGUAGGGAAUCUUGCACAAUGAGGGAAACCUUGAUGCAGCGACGCCGCGUGCGGGACGAAGGCCCUAGGGUUGUAAACCGCUUUCAGUAGGGACGAAAGUGACGGUACUACAGAAGAAGCCCCGGCCAACUAUGUGCCAGCAGCCGCGGUAAU
RNAcentral lists this ribosomal RNA (479 nucleotides) under uncultured bacterium. Its description in RNAcentral is "bacterial SSU rRNA". It matches the Rfam family "Bacterial small subunit ribosomal RNA", at positions 28 to 524 of the family's 1533-position model. The record is from RNAcentral.